CCUUGUCCCCAGUGUCCCCUCUCAGUCCCCAGUGUCCCCUCACAGUGCUGGCUGUCCCCACAUUGUCCCCUCACCUUGUCCCCACGUGUCCCUUCACCUUGUCCCUUGUCCCCUCACCUGUCCCCACGUGUCCCCUCACCUUGUCCCCUCCCCUGUGUCCCCUCACCUUGUCCCUUGUCCCCUCACCUUGUCCCCUGUGUCCCCUCCCAGUCCUCUGCCGCCUCUUCACCGUGGGCCACCUCAUGCAGCCGGUGGCCAAGACGGUCAUCGUGGAGGUCAAGACGCCCGACAACGUCAUCAUCAAACAAGUCCCGGUGUCGUCCCCGACCAAGAACGGGAUCCUGUCCCUCACCCACAACCUGCCCGAGGUCGUCAGCCUGGGCAUGUGGACGAUCUCGGCCAAGUUCGAGGAUGCUCCGGACCAGGAUUUCAGCACCCACUUCGAGGUCAAGGAAUACGUGCUGCCGAGCUUUGAGGUGUCCCUGGUUCCCGAGGAGAAGUUCCUGUACCUCGACCGCCAGGCGGAUUUCAGGGUGUCCAUCCUGGCCAGGUGACACCAAAAUGUCCCUUGGGGGGGCAAAAGUGUCCCCUCUGGGGUCACAGCUGGGCGGGGGACAGGGGACAGCUGGGCUGGGCUGCUGUCCCUGGGUGUGGCACCGGGAGGGGGAGGGGGACACGGGGUGACAUGGGGGGACAGUGGGGGUGGUGGUAGGGGGGGGAUGAGAGAGGGGUGACAGGAUGGGGACAUGGGGACAUUGGUGGUGGCAGGGAGGGGAUGACAGAGGGGUGGCAGGAUGGGGACAUGGGGACAUUGGUGGUGACAGGGAUGAGAUGACAGAGACAGCGUGACAGGAUGGGGACAUGGGGACAUUGGAGGUGGCAGG
This 884-nucleotide long non-coding RNA is filed under the name Serinus canaria (Common canary). RNAcentral's name for it is "lncRNA (ENSSCAG00000001905.1)". The record is from RNAcentral. Lineage: Eukaryota; Metazoa; Chordata; Aves; Passeriformes; Fringillidae.